This 263-nucleotide unclassified non-coding RNA is filed under the name plant metagenome. RNAcentral's name for it is "partial contains small subunit ribosomal RNA, internal transcribed spacer 1, and 5.8S ribosomal RNA". The record is from RNAcentral.
UUUCCGUAGGUGAACCAGCGGAAGGAUCAUUAUCGAGUUUUGACUGUGUUGUAGCUGGCCUUCCGAGGCAUGUGCACGCCCUGCUCAUCCACUCUACACCUGUGCACUUACUGUGGGUAUCAGAUCGUGAAGCGUGCUCUUUUACCGGAGCUUGUGAAGCGUGUCUGUGCCUGCGUUUAUCACAAACACUAUAAAGUAUCAGAAUGUGUAUUACGAUGUAACGCAUCUAUAUACAACUUUCAGCAACGGAUCUCUUGGCUCUC